This 123-nucleotide ribosomal RNA is filed under the name Phascolarctos cinereus (koala). Lineage: Eukaryota; Metazoa; Chordata; Mammalia; Diprotodontia; Phascolarctidae. The record is from RNAcentral.
AUCUGAGGUACUACCAUGGUGAAUUUGGCAAGCCAAUCUCAUCUGAUCUUAGAAGAUAAGUAGGGUUGGGGCUGGUUAUUACUUGGAUGGGAGAUUGCCUGGGAAUACCUAGUGUUGAAGGCU